CUCAUUUGAAAUUUCAUAAAUAAAAAAGAAAAUUUCUUCAAACAUUUUUUUGAGAGGAUUAAUAUUCAAUUGCAUAGUGAAUUGCUCUAAGAGAAAACAAAAAAUUUAAGUUCAUUAGAACACAUUCAUUCUGUGUCAGAAACCUAUGCUGUGUCAACUAUUUAAUCACAAUCCAAAUUUAGAGCUGAAUCCAGCUUGAAUGUUGUGUCCAUACUUGCCCCAACCGUUCAGGGUUCAACCUCUGCGGUCGUAUAAAGCUACGCCCUGCGGAGCAUCUGGUUUAUAAUGUUGAAUUAUA
Molecule: long non-coding RNA, 298 nt
Filed under: Mytilus galloprovincialis (Mediterranean mussel)
Lineage: Eukaryota; Metazoa; Mollusca; Bivalvia; Mytilida; Mytilidae
Source: RNAcentral